CCCGGUAGUGUCUGCUCAGGCGCCAGGGCUGCUGGGGGCAGACUGAAUGAAGAUGGCAUUAGCCAGGAAUGGGUAGGAAUUGUCCCACCUGUGGUCUCACCUCUGUCCAGCUGGGUGGCCUCGGUGCCCCCACCUGUGCAUGAAGGCAUGAGAGCAGGUGGUCAUGGAGCCCAGAGCAACAGGCGACCUCGCACGCUGCCCACACCCAUGCCUGGCAGGCCCCUUCGCCCUCCUCAGCCUCUUGCACCCGAUGUGCUAAGGCUCCAGGCACCCGCCUUCAGUCAACCAUAGGUACAAGCCUGCCUGCUGCUCCAGAAGACCCUGUCCAUGCAGGAGGUGAGGUCGUGCUUCCAGGACCCCGAGUCGAAGCAGCUGAUCGGCCAGGUUCAGACAAAUGUCACGGAGAACCUGCGCACACUGGGGGAGGCGCAGACCAAGGCGGAGCACCAGCAGGCGCUGUCCUCCCUGGAGCUGCUCAAUACUGUCUUCAGGACCUGCAAACACGAGAAGCUGACCUUGGACCUGGCGGUGCUCCUGGGCAUGCUGCAGGGGCAGCAGCAGGGACAGCAGCAGGGCCUGCGGCAGGCGGCGCACUCCACCGGCUCCAGCCACCUGCUCGACCUCUACUGGCAGGCCAUGAAAACCCUGGGGAGUCCAGUAGGUUCUGGGCGGGGGAUGCACACUUAGGCGGGGCUAGGAUCGCCCUCACACUGCUGCGCACACUCAGAUGUGGGAGCCCUGGGCCUCUGGGGCCCCACGGGACCCGGGUGGAGGUGGCCGCUGCCCUCACUGGGCACCUUCUUACCUGCUCACUCCCCUCAGGUGCCCGAAGUUGGAGAAGAAGGAUACCAAGGAGAUCCCCAGCACCACCUAGGGCCCCAUCAGCAGGAAGCNNNNNNNNNNNNGAA
This 908-nucleotide long non-coding RNA is filed under the name Aotus nancymaae (Ma's night monkey). RNAcentral's name for it is "lncRNA (ENSANAG00000038585.1)". The record is from RNAcentral. Lineage: Eukaryota; Metazoa; Chordata; Mammalia; Primates; Aotidae.